AAAGAAAAAAAACGAACGAAAAAAAAAGAAAAAAAAAGGAGCAUCGCUCCUGCAGCCCUAGCCGCGUCACCCCCUGCGUUUUGCCGCCGCCACUGUUGUUCCUGUCGCCGCCGGCGGCGCCGCCGCCGCCGGUUCAGCCGUCGUCGUCCUUCGCCACCCCAUCCGCUCAUCUCCUUGCGUGGCUUGUUGCUGUUGCAUCGAUCAGAGACGAGAAGGCUCCAGACAGCAGAGAAAGCAGUUGAACAGGAGUAACAAGGGAAGGAAAAGGUACCUAAUAACAUUGAUCGGUAUGGGGCGGGAGUAGCACCCUUGGACUACACAUUAUCAUUGCACACAACUAAAAUUUAGUUUUAGACUAUAUAUAUAUAUAUUUUUUUGCUCAGCAUAAGUUUUGCAUAGAACUUGUAAAGGUCAUUUAAGGUUCUGAUUCUUAUUUUUUCACGUGGGGUUUGUGGAGCUAGGAUUGUGGAUUAUAUCGGUAUUGACUUUUCUUAUAACUGCCUGUCGUGGAUGUCCGUAUUUUUAGGGUAGAUUCUGCCGAAAUUUCUAAUAAUUUUGGGACUUA
Oryza sativa Japonica Group (Japanese rice) is the source of this 565-nucleotide long non-coding RNA. RefSeq lists it as uncharacterized. NCBI's taxonomy places the organism in Eukaryota, Viridiplantae, Streptophyta, Magnoliopsida, Poales, Poaceae. The record is from RefSeq and is a predicted model, not a curated record.